This is an RNA transcript of Carcharodon carcharias (great white shark), 709 nucleotides long. It is a transcript of the gene named CTF8, chromosome transmission fidelity factor 8 homolog (S. cerevisiae), with no coding region annotated. The record is from RefSeq and is a predicted model, not a curated record. The transcript is spliced from 4 exons. NCBI's taxonomy places the organism in Eukaryota, Metazoa, Chordata, Chondrichthyes, Lamniformes, Lamnidae.
CUUCACCCGGAAACAAACCCCACCGAGCAGCGGAAGUGACGUGGGCGUGAAGCCGAGGGCGGGAAAAGCUGAGAAGAAAAUGGUUCAAAUCCCCGUCCAGCUGCCCCGUCCCGGAGAUGGUUCUGGCUCCGAGUGGCUGAUGCUGGAACUUCAGGGAGAAAUCGAGUCCCGGGGCCACAGCGGCCUCCCUGGAAACCUGAUGGGCGACCUGCACUUCAGCAGAGAGGGAGUCCCAAUACUGAUAAUUGGCCACCACAUCCUGUAUGGUAAAGUCAGCCGUCUGGAAAGGCCAUUUGCGGUACUAGUAAAAAAGGCCACCACAAGGGCAGGAGCUGAGAGUCCGAUGGAAAUCGAGAAAGCUGAGCAAGGAGUGAGUGAAGAAAGUGUUUCAUGUCGCUACCUAAUCACCGCACUCAUCAAGAGAAAAAUCAUCUUCAAAACCCGUCCAAAGCCUAUUAUUACGAAUGUGCCUAAAAAGCUAUAGUGGGACUGUGCCCACCGACAGGACUCUUCUGAACAGCAGAUCUGCAUAUCGUCAGAUGCUGCCUGGCCUGCUGAUGGUUUCUGUAACAGUUCACACUUGAUAACAAUGACUCUAACACAUGGACUGGAAACACCAACAGUAAGGUUCAGGUAUUAAAUCUUUAUUUUGAUAAAAGUUCAUAUAAAACAUCAGAAUUUAAAACCCCAAAGUGAUUGUAAAAAAUAA